GAUGAACGCUGACAGAAUGCUUAACACAUGCAAGUCUACUUGAACUUCGGUUUGGGUGGCGGACGGGUGAGUAACGCGUAAAGAACUUGCCUCACAGUUAGGGACAACAUUUGGAAACGAAUGCUAAUACCUGAUAUUAUGAUUUUAGGGCAUCCUAGGAUUAUGAAAGCUAUAUGUGCUGUGAGAGAGCUUUGCGUCCCAUUAGCUAGUUGGAGAGGUAACGGCUCACCAAGGCGAUGAUGGGUAGCCGGCCUGAGAGGGUGAACGGCCACAAGGGGACGGAGACACCGCCCUUACUCCUUCGGGAGGCAGGCGUGGGGAAUCAUGGGCAAUGGACCAAAAGUCUGAUCCAGCAAUUCUGUUUGCAAGAUGACGUUUUUCGGAAUGUAAAGUGGUUUCAGUUGGGAAGAAAAAAAUGACGGUACCAACAGAAGAAGUGACGGCUAAAUACGUG
This 454-nucleotide ribosomal RNA is filed under the name uncultured bacterium. RNAcentral's name for it is "partial 16S ribosomal RNA". It matches the Rfam family "Bacterial small subunit ribosomal RNA", at positions 28 to 507 of the family's 1533-position model. The record is from RNAcentral.